CUUUUGAAUUCAGGAAGAUAAAACGAAAAAUAUGACAGAUUUUAUCCUGUUUAUUAUUACAUUAAUAAGAAAUAGGGAAUAACAUCGCAUAUUUGAUUUCCUAUAAGUUGUAAUAGUAAUGACAAAUAAAAUACUCUUUAAUGUGAUGAAACAUUUUUACUCAAAGAUUCGACAUUAAAGCUUCCGUCAUGCACCACCGGAAUUAAAGCAAGAAAAAAUCAA
This 222-nucleotide long non-coding RNA is filed under the name Mytilus galloprovincialis (Mediterranean mussel). The record is from RNAcentral. Lineage: Eukaryota; Metazoa; Mollusca; Bivalvia; Mytilida; Mytilidae.